Molecule: ribosomal RNA, 638 nt
Filed under: uncultured bacterium
Lineage: Bacteria
Description: bacterial SSU rRNA
Rfam family: Bacterial small subunit ribosomal RNA (bases 1-547)
Source: RNAcentral
CCUACGGGAGGCAGCAGUCGAGGAAUUUUUUCACAAUGGGGGGAAACCCUGAUGGAGCGACGCCGCGUGGGGGAUGAAUGGCUUCGGCCCGUAAACCCCUGUCAUUUGCGAACAAACCUGAUGGUUGAAUAAACUGUUAGCUGAUAGUAGCAGAAGAGGAAGGGACGGCUAACUCUGUGCCAGCAGCCGCGGUAAUACAGAGGUCCCAAGCGUUGUUCGGAUUCACUGGGCGUAAAGGGUGCGUAGGCGGUGGGGUAAGUUUGAGGUGAAAUCUCCGGGCUUAACCCGGAAAUAGCCUUGAAGACUAUCCUGCUAGAGGAUCGGAGGGGAGACUGGAAUUCGUCGGUGUAGCAGUGAAAUGCGUAGAUAUCGAGAGGAACACCAGUGGCGAAGGCGAGUCUCUGGACGAAUCCUGACGCUGAGGCACGAAAGCCAGGGGAGCAAACGGGGAUUAGAUACCCCGGUAGUCCUGGCCCUAAACGGUGCGCACUGCUGUGGCGGAGUCGUACCCGUCCGUCGGUCGUAGAACCGACUAAGUAGCGCCGCCGUCGGGAGGUACGGUCGCGACGAGUUAAACGUUAAAGUAAGUAGUAGUUACGUUGUAGAGUUAGUCGACGACGACGACGACGGAGGAGGAG